This 75-nucleotide transfer RNA is filed under the name Alphaproteobacteria bacterium. RNAcentral describes it as "tRNA-Thr". It matches the Rfam family "tRNA". Rfam says of the family: Transfer RNA (tRNA) molecules are approximately 80 nucleotides in length. Their secondary structure includes four short double-helical elements and three loops (D, anti-codon, and T loops). Further hydrogen bonds mediate the characteristic L-shaped molecular structure. tRNAs have two regions of fundamental functional importance: the anti-codon, which is responsible for specific mRNA codon recognition, and the 3' end, to which the tRNAs corresponding amino acid is attached (by aminoacyl-tRNA synthetases). tRNAs cope with the degeneracy of the genetic code in two manners: having more than one tRNA (with a specific anti-codon) for a particular amino acid; and 'wobble' base-pairing, i.e. permitting non-standard base-pairing at the 3rd anti-codon position. Lineage: Bacteria; Pseudomonadati; Pseudomonadota; Alphaproteobacteria. The record is from RNAcentral.
GCUGCCGUAGCUCAGAGGUAGAGCACUCCCUUGGUAAGGGAGAGGCCGAGAGUUCGAUUCUCUCCGGCAGCACCA